This 274-nucleotide ribosomal RNA is filed under the name uncultured bacterium. RNAcentral's name for it is "partial 16S ribosomal RNA". It matches the Rfam family "Bacterial small subunit ribosomal RNA", at positions 523 to 796 of the family's 1533-position model. The record is from RNAcentral.
AUCCGAGGGGUGCAAGCGUUAUUCGGAAUUACUGGGCGUAAAGGGUGUGUAGACGGCGUAUUAAGUCUGUUGUUAAAUCCUCCGGCCUAACCGGAGAUCUGCGGUGGAAACUGAUAUGCUAGAGGAUGGAAGAGAGAAGUGGAAUUCCCGGAGUAGCGGUAAAAUGCGUGGAUCUCGGGAGGAACACCAAUGGCGAAGGCAGCUUCUUGGUCCAUUCCUGACGUUGAGACACGAAAGCGUGGGGAGCAAACAGGAUUAGAAACCCCAGUAGUCC